Molecule: ribosomal RNA, 1281 nt
Filed under: Salmonella enterica
Lineage: Bacteria; Pseudomonadati; Pseudomonadota; Gammaproteobacteria; Enterobacterales; Enterobacteriaceae
Description: partial 23S ribosomal RNA
Rfam family: Bacterial large subunit ribosomal RNA
Source: RNAcentral
UACCAAGGCGCUUGAGAGAACUCGGGUGAAGGAACUAGGCAAAAUGGUGCCGUAACUUCGGGAGAAGGCACGCUGACACGUAGGUGAAGUGAUUUACUCAUGGAGCUGAAGUCAGUCGAAGAUACCAGCUGGCUGCAACUGUUUAUUAAAAACACAGCACUGUGCAAACACGAAAGUGGACGUAUACGGUGUGACGCCUGCCCGGUGCCGGAAGGUUAAUUGAUGGGGUCAGCGCAAGCGAAGCUCCUGAUCGAAGCCCCGGUAAACGGCGGCCGUAACUAUAACGGUCCUAAGGUAGCGAAAUUCCUUGUCGGGUAAGUUCCGACCUGCACGAAUGGCGUAAUGAUGGCCAGGCUGUCUCCACCCGAGACUCAGUGAAAUUGAACUCGCUGUGAAGAUGCAGUGUACCCGCGGCAAGACGGAAAGACCCCGUGAACCUUUACUAUAGCUUGACACUGAACAUUGAGCCUUGAUGUGUAGGAUAGGUGGGAGGCUUUGAAGUGUGGACGCCAGUCUGCAUGGAGCCGACCUUGAAAUACCACCCUUUAAUGUUUGAUGUUCUAACGUGGACCCGUAAUCCGGGUUGCGGACAGUGUCUGGUGGGUAGUUUGACUGGGGCGGUCUCCUCCUAAAGAGUAACGGAGGAGCACGAAGGUUGGCUAAUCCUGGUCGGACAUCAGGAGGUUAGUGCAAUGGCAUAAGCCAGCUUGACUGCGAGCGUGACGGCGCGAGCAGGUGCGAAAGCAGGUCAUAGUGAUCCGGUGGUUCUGAAUGGAAGGGCCAUCGCUCAACGGAUAAAAGGUACUCCGGGGAUAACAGGCUGAUACCGCCCAAGAGUUCAUAUCGACGGCGGUGUUUGGCACCUCGAUGUCGGCUCAUCACAUCCUGGGGCUGAAGUAGGUCCCAAGGGUAUGGCUGUUCGCCAUUUAAAGUGGUACGCGAGCUGGGUUUAGAACGUCGUGAGACAGUUCGGUCCCUAUCUGCCGUGGGCGCUGGAGAACUGAGGGGGGCUGCUCCUAGUACGAGAGGACCGGAGUGGACGCAUCACUGGUGUUCGGGUUGUCAUGCCAAUGGCACUGCCCGGUAGCUAAAUGCGGAAGAGAUAAGUGCUGAAAGCAUCUAAGCACGAAACUUGCCCCGAGAUGAGUUCUCCCUGAGACUUAGAGUCUCCUGAAGGAACGUUGAAGACGACGACGUUGAUAGGCCGGGUGUGUAAGCGCAGCGAUGCGUUGAGCUAACCGGUACUAAUGAACCGUGAGGCUUAACCUUACAACGCCGAAG